Molecule: ribosomal RNA, 782 nt
Filed under: uncultured bacterium
Lineage: Bacteria
Description: bacterial SSU rRNA
Rfam family: Bacterial small subunit ribosomal RNA
Source: RNAcentral
GCGCCGCGCCAGACUUUGAUCCUGGCUCAGGAUGAACGCUAGCUACAGGCUUAGCACAUGCAAGUCGAGGGGCAGCAUUCCAGUUUGCUUGCAAACUGGAGAUGGCGACCGGCGCACGGGUGAGUAACACGUAUCCAACCUGCCGAUAACUCGGGGAUAGCCUUUCGAAAGAAAGGUUAAUACCCGAUGGCAUAAUAGAACCGCAUGGUUUGAUUAUUAAAGAAUUUCGGUUAUCGAUGGGGAUGCGUUCCAUUAGGCAGUUGGUGGGGUAACGGCCCACCAAACCUUCGAUGGAUAGGGGUUCUGAGAGGAAGGUCCCCCACAUUGGAACUGAGACACGGUCCAAACUCCUACGGGAGGCAGCAGUGAGGAAUAUUGGUCAAUGGACGAGAGUCUGAACCAGCCAAGUAGCGUGAAGGAUGACUGCCCUAUGGGUUGUAAACUUCUUUUAUAUGGGAAUAAAGUGAUCCACGUGUGGAUUUUUGUAUGUACCAUAUGAAUAAGGAUCGGCUAACUCCGUGCCAGCAGCCGCGGUAAUACGGAGGAUCCGAGCGUUAUCCGGAUUUAUUGGGUUUAAAGGGAGCGUAGGUGGACAGUUAAGUCAGUUGUGAAAGUUUGCGGCUCAACCGUAAAAUUGCAGUUGAUACUGGCUGUCUUGAGUACAGUAGGGGUGGGCGGAAUUCGCGGUGUAGCGGUGAAAUGCUUAGAUAUCACGAAGAACUCCGAUUGCGAAGGCAGCUCACUGGACUGCAACUGACACUGAUGCUCGAAAGUGUGGGUAU